RNAcentral lists this ribosomal RNA (510 nucleotides) under Triticum aestivum (bread wheat). RNAcentral describes it as "partial small subunit ribosomal RNA". The record is from RNAcentral. Lineage: Eukaryota; Viridiplantae; Streptophyta; Magnoliopsida; Poales; Poaceae.
AUGCAUACUCGAGGGCUCUUUCACACGAGACGGCACAGACCCACGCAUGUCUCAUGUCUCGCCCGUCAUCGUCGUCUUCUCCUCCUCAGAUUUAUUACGACAUAUAUAUUAGCUAUCUCCACCAUCUCUUCAUUCAGAGCCAGAAAUAAAGGCAACACCGACCAAGCACAAGCUAGCUUCUUGCAUCUAUCCAUAAUGGACCGGAGCAACAUUGGAAGCCUUGGGUUGGUGGCGGUGGUGGCUGUGGUGUCGACUAGCAUCAUCCUUGUAUCCUGCCACCUCCGUCGCCGCCUCCAAGAUGAUACCAAACUCAACAAGAUCGCCGAGCAACAACGGCAGAGCAAGACGACAAUGAAGGAGGUGGGGUUCAUGGACGAUGUGGCGGAGGAUCUCUCAUCGGAUGAAGAGGAGUGUCCCCGUCGACUGGGUAAGACCGCCAUUGGUGUCCCCAUCCAACCAUCGCUACGCAGGGUCCCUCGAUUCAACAAUUUGGCAUUCGAGUUUAAUUAA